Oncorhynchus tshawytscha (Chinook salmon) is the source of this 1147-nucleotide long non-coding RNA. NCBI's taxonomy places the organism in Eukaryota, Metazoa, Chordata, Actinopteri, Salmoniformes, Salmonidae. The record is from Ensembl.
GUUUUUCAUGCGCAACAGAGUGGGGCAGCCAUUUUCUCUCUCUAUCCAAUUGAAGAAACUACAGUCCUGGUGACAUAUUAUCGAUUAUUUAUUCAAUAAAACAACUUGAGAAUUGAUUAUAAAAACAUUUGACAUGUUUCUCAUGAACUUUACGGAUACUAUUUGGAAUUUUUGUCUGCCCCGUUGUGACCGCUCGAGCCUGUGGAUUUCUGAACAUACGGCGCCAACCAAAUGGAGGUAUUUUGGAUAUAAAAAUUAUCUUUAUGGAACAAAAGGAACAUUUAUUGUGUAACUGGGAGUCUCGUGAGUGCAAAGAUCCGAAGAUCAUUGAAGGAAUGCCUGUCAUGAAGAUCUGGAUUCAGAGCAGGAAGACAAGAAGAUGGUUUUAGUGUCAUCACUUAAGAGCUAUGAAGCUUGGGCUCUCAGGCAGAGGAUUACCAACUGGUGCUGGAGAGUGAUGGACUAGAGGUGGAUAAGGAUGAGAUUUUCCUAGAACUCCACACUAGCACUUUUAUAGUCUUGAUGGGGGGAGAGUGCUGGGAGCCCAUGUCAUGGAAUUCAGCAGAAAGUGGAACAAAUUCAUUGCCAUAAGACAGGGACAAUUAACAAAAUACUACAAGCACUGAUGCUGAAGCAGAUACUGCAAGACAGCUGUAAAGUUGUAGAGAGACGAGCAAGUGUAUUCAUAUAUGCAAGCAUCCUGAAGUGAAGCACAUACAUCAUACCACACUGACUAUUGUCUUGAUUAGUACCUCUAUUUUUAAUCUCAUUUAUUUAAUCCUCCAUUGUGUGUCCAUUUGGUUUACUUUCCACUUGUAAAUGUAUUGUUCACCCAUUUCACCCAUAUCGUUCAGAUUAAACACCACGCCCACCCUUCUCCACACUUCUUUGCUAGAAGUUGGCAGAGGGUAAUGCCAUGUCUGUCUGGAGUAAACUGGUAGAGAAGACAGCCCACUACUAAGACAGCAGGGAGUACAGAGCCGUAGGCAGAAAGAUGUUUGCAAGAUAUCUGUGUAUAAAGCACGAGAGAACAGAGCCAUGGGUUAGAGCACUUAUUUCAAUGGACAACUUCCAAAGGUUGUAUGUUGCAUUGUAGAAUUAUAGCUCCACUCAGUGAUUUCUGCAUACCGAGUCACCAACAAAACCU